This 159-nucleotide ribosomal RNA is filed under the name Genista tribracteolata. RNAcentral describes it as "Cytisus tribracteolatus 5.8S ribosomal RNA". It matches the Rfam family "5.8S ribosomal RNA". From Rfam's summary of the family: 5.8S ribosomal RNA (5.8S rRNA) is a component of the large subunit of the eukaryotic ribosome. It is transcribed by RNA polymerase I as part of the 45S precursor that also contains 18S and 28S rRNA. Functionally, it is thought that 5.8S rRNA may be involved in ribosome translocation. Lineage: Eukaryota; Viridiplantae; Streptophyta; Magnoliopsida; Fabales; Fabaceae. The record is from RNAcentral.
AAAGACUCUCGGCAACGGAUAUCUCGGCUCUUGCAUCGAUGAAGAACGUAGCGAAAUGCGAUACUUGGUGUGAAUUGCAGAAUCCCGUGAACCAUCGAGUCUUUGAACGCAAGUUGCGCCCGAAGCCAUUAGGCUGAGGGCACGCCUGCCUGGGUGAUG